Molecule: ribosomal RNA, 396 nt
Filed under: uncultured bacterium
Lineage: Bacteria
Description: bacterial SSU rRNA
Rfam family: Bacterial small subunit ribosomal RNA
Source: RNAcentral
AUUGAACGCUGGCGGCGUGCUUAACACAUGCAAGUCGAGCGGUAAGGCCCUUUCGGGGGUACACGAGCGGCGAACGGGUGAGUAACACGUGGGUGACCUGCCUUUAGCUCUGGGAUAAGCCUGGGAAACUGGGUCUAAUACCGGAUAUGACUCCGCGGUGCAUGCUGUGGGGUGGAAAGCCUUGUGCGGCUGGAGAUGGGCCCGCGGCCUAUCAGCUUGUUGGUGGGGUGANGGCCUACCAAGGCGACGACGGGUAGCCGGCCUGAGAGGGCGACCGGCCACACUGGGACUGAGACACGGCCCAGACUCCUACGGGAGGCAGCAGUGGGGAAUCUUGCGCAAUGGGCGAAAGCCUGACGCAGCGACGCCGCGUGAGGGAUGACGGCCUGGUUGUAA